GUCCCCAUCGUCUAACGGUUCAGGAUAUUUGGUUCUCAGCCAAAUGAUUGGAGUUCGAAUCUCCAUGGGGAAGCCA
RNAcentral lists this transfer RNA (76 nucleotides) under compost metagenome. RNAcentral describes it as "tRNA-Glu". It matches the Rfam family "tRNA". From Rfam's summary of the family: Transfer RNA (tRNA) molecules are approximately 80 nucleotides in length. Their secondary structure includes four short double-helical elements and three loops (D, anti-codon, and T loops). The record is from RNAcentral.